Molecule: small nuclear RNA, 193 nt
Filed under: Panthera leo (lion)
Lineage: Eukaryota; Metazoa; Chordata; Mammalia; Carnivora; Felidae
Description: U2 spliceosomal RNA (ENSPLOG00000001258.1)
Rfam family: U2 spliceosomal RNA (bases 1-168)
About the family: U2 is a small nuclear RNA (snRNA) component of the spliceosome (involved in pre-mRNA splicing). Complementary binding between U2 snRNA (in an area lying towards the 5' end but 3' to hairpin I) and the branchpoint sequence (BPS) of the intron results the bulging out of an unpaired adenosine, on the BPS, which initiates a nucleophilic attack at the intronic 5' splice site, thus starting the first of two transesterification reactions that mediate splicing.
Source: RNAcentral
AUCGCCUCUUGGCCUUUUGGCUCAGAUCAAGCGUAGUAUCUGUUCUUAUCAGUUUUAUAACUGACACAUCCUCUCUCCGAGGGCAAUAUAUUAAAUGGAUUUGGGGAGCAGGGAGAUGGCCUAGGAGCUUGGUCCGUCCCCUCCAUGCAUCGAGCUGGUUAAAAAAACGAGAAGAAAGAAAAAAUCAACCUCU